RNAcentral lists this unclassified non-coding RNA (524 nucleotides) under Hevea brasiliensis (rubber tree). The record is from RNAcentral. Lineage: Eukaryota; Viridiplantae; Streptophyta; Magnoliopsida; Malpighiales; Euphorbiaceae.
AAGGGAAAGUAUAAAGGAAUUUAGGGUUUCAUUUCUUCCGAGAAAUCCCCCAUUUGGCCUCUAUCAUCCAUUCUUGCGCCUGUGAUCUGAUUUCCUUAUUAAAGCAAUGAAGCCAGGAGUAUCGACAUUGAACCCUUAUGCUGCAUCAUACAUACCGUUGUCUAAAAGAGAAGCAGCAGAAGAAAUUGAAGUUCCUGGAGUGACCACCAAAGUUUCUCAUAUUGGCAAUCAAACUGUCUUGAAUGCACCUGCGGAGCAUACUACUCAGAACAGGCAGCACAGUCAAUCUUCUUCCAUUCCUCAAGUAUCUAUAUUGAAAAGUCACCCUGCCCAUGGCGUUUAUGAUUCAUCAUCUCAAAAUUUAAAUGAUUUGACAGACAAGCAGAUGAUGGAUGAGGAAUUUGACGUGGAUUUGGAAUAUCUUGGAAUGACAUUUCCUGGCAUUUCUGAUGAGUCUCUUAAUGAUGUCUAUAUGGCAAACAUGGGUGACUUGGAGGCCACUAUUGAUAUGUUAAACCAACUUG